This 468-nucleotide ribosomal RNA is filed under the name uncultured bacterium. RNAcentral describes it as "partial 16S ribosomal RNA". It matches the Rfam family "Bacterial small subunit ribosomal RNA", at positions 28 to 507 of the family's 1533-position model. The record is from RNAcentral.
GACGAACGCUGGCGGCGUGCUUAACACAUGCAAGUCGAACGGAAAGGCCCUGCUUUUGUGGGGUGCUCGAGUGGCGAACGGGUGAGUAACACGUGAGUAACCUGCCCUUGACUUUGGGAUAACUUCAGGAAACUGGGGCUAAUACCGGAUAGGAGCUCCUGCUGCAGGGGGGGGGUUGGAAAGUUUCGGCGGUUGGGGAUGGACUCGCGGCUUAUCAGCUUGUUGGUGGGGUAGUGGCUUACCAAGGCUUUGACGGGUAGCCGGCCGGAGAGGGUGACCGGCCUCAUUGGGACUUGGCUACCGCCCAGACUCCUACGGGAGGCAGCAGUGGGGAAUUUUGCACCAUUGGCCGCAGCCUGAUUCAGCAACGCCGCGUUCGGGAUGACGGCCUUCGGGUUGUUAACCGCUUUCGCCUGUGACGAAGCGUGCGUGACGGUAAUGGGUAAAAAAGCACCGGCUAACUACGUG